GGAAUCUUGGACAAUGGGGGCAACCCUGAUCCAGCGACGCCGCGUGGGUGACGAAGGCCUUCGGGUUGUAAAGCCCUUUUUCCGGGGACGAUGAUGACGGUACCCGGGGAAUAAGCACCGGCUAACUCCGUGCCAGCAGCCGCGGUAAGCCGGAGGGUGCUAGCGUUGUUCGGAAUUACUGGGCGUAAAGGGCGCGUAGGCGGCCCUGUCAGUCGGGUGUGAAAGCCCGGGGCUCAACCCCGGAACGGCACCCGAGACGGCAGGGCUGGAGACCGGGAGAGGAGGGUGGAAUAGCCAGUGUAGAGGUGAAAUUCGUAGAUAUUGGCUGGAACACCGGUGGCGAAAGCGGCUCUCUGGCCCGGUUCUGACGCUGAGGCGCGAAAGCGUGGGGAGCAAA
This 397-nucleotide ribosomal RNA is filed under the name uncultured bacterium. Its description in RNAcentral is "bacterial SSU rRNA". It matches the Rfam family "Bacterial small subunit ribosomal RNA", at positions 358 to 772 of the family's 1533-position model. The record is from RNAcentral.